UCGGGAAUUUUGGGCAAUGGGCGAAAGCCUGACACAGCAACGCCGCGUGAAGGAUGAAGUCCCUCGGGAUGUAAACUUCGUAAGAAUAGGAAGAAUAAAUGACGGUACUAUUUGUAAGGUCCGGCUAACUACGUGCCAGCAGCCGCGGUAAUACGUAGGGACCAAGCGUUGUUCGGAUUUACUGGGCGUAAAGGGUGCGUAGGCGGCAUAUCAAGUCACUUGUGAAAUCUCCGGGCUUAACUCGGAACUGCCAAGUGAUACUGAUGUGCUAGAGUGCAGAAAGGGCAACUGGAAUUCUUGGUGUAGCGGUGAAAUGCGUAGAUAUCAAGAGGAACACCUGAGGCGAAGGCGAGUUGCUAGGCUGACACUGACGCUGAGGUGCGAAAGCGUGGGGAGCAAA
This 400-nucleotide ribosomal RNA is filed under the name uncultured bacterium. Its description in RNAcentral is "bacterial SSU rRNA". It matches the Rfam family "Bacterial small subunit ribosomal RNA", at positions 355 to 772 of the family's 1533-position model. The record is from RNAcentral.